This is a long non-coding RNA of Centruroides sculpturatus (bark scorpion), 676 nucleotides long. RefSeq lists it as uncharacterized. Lineage: Eukaryota; Metazoa; Arthropoda; Arachnida; Scorpiones; Buthidae. The record is from RefSeq and is a predicted model, not a curated record. The transcript is spliced from 3 exons.
AGAAAUUAUUAUUAUGCUUAAAUAAAACUUGUAUUACAGAAGUAAUGCUAACUAUUAGGCUAUAUCGUAGAAGAGAAUAGUAACGUAAUUUUAUGUUAGGAAAAAUUCUACUAUCGUCACGAAGAAUCCGAAUUCGAAUCCAGUCGAGUAUUUCUAGUAAAAUGAGCAUUUUUUCUUCAUCUUUAACUUUUGCUGACAACCUCCAUUUCGAAUCACGUAAGUUAUAUCAAUAUGAGGAAUCUGGCGACAGACUCGAUGGGAUAUUUUCUUUUAGAGACCCGCUAAGAGGAAAUGAAUUUCGGGAAGACUUUUAUGGCAAACUGGCUUCUGUUCUAGUGUUGGACACGUCAAGAAAACCCGAAAAACUCUACGCUGUCAGCCCGUUGACAAAGCGCCAACUCACCACCAAUUACUAAUGUUUCGGCUCGUCCCUCGGCUGUUGCUGGUGGCGUAAAUUCUACAAUCACCGCAAGAGUUUGGAAUUCGAAUUCGAUCUGGCAUCACAAGUAAUGUUCCUCAUCCUUCAAUCAUUCUGGUCCACCUCAUUGCGGGUCGGACUCGUCAGUAAUGGAUCGAAAUGCCAUCAGUCACAAAACCUUAAUGUUCUGCAGCUUGGGAUUAAUAAAUCAAACACUUAUUAAUGUUAUUGUUAAGUAAUAAACAUAGAGAAUUCUGU